Molecule: ribosomal RNA, 470 nt
Filed under: uncultured bacterium
Lineage: Bacteria
Description: partial 16S ribosomal RNA
Rfam family: Bacterial small subunit ribosomal RNA
Source: RNAcentral
GACGAACGCUGGCGGCGUGCUUAACACAUGCAAGUCGAACGCUGAAGCACCAGCUUGCUGGUGUGGAUGAGUGGCGAACGGGUGAGUAAUACGUGAGUAACCUGCCCUUGACUCUGGGAUAAGCGCGGGCAACUGGGUCUAAUACUUGCUGCUACAUGUCACCGCAUGGUGGUGUGUGGAAAGGGUUUACUGGUCUUGGGUGGGCUCACGGCCUAUCAGCUUGUUGGUGAGGUAAUGGCUCACCAAGGCGACGACGGGUAGCCGGCCAGAGAGGGUGACCGGCCACACUGAGACUGAGACACGGCCCAGACGCCGACUGGAGGAAGCAGUGGGGAAUAUUGCACAAUGGGCGAAAGCCGGAUGCAGCGACGCCGCGGGAGGGAUGACGGCCUUCGGGUUGUAAACCUCUUUCAGCAGGGAAGAAGCCACAAGUGACGGUACCUGCAGAAGAAGCGCCGGCUAACUACGUG